RNAcentral lists this transfer RNA (64 nucleotides) under Megaustenia imperator imperator. Its description in RNAcentral is "tRNA-His". Lineage: Eukaryota; Metazoa; Mollusca; Gastropoda; Stylommatophora; Ariophantidae. The record is from RNAcentral.
CAUAUUAUAAGUUAAAUUAAACUGGUGGAUUGUGGAUCCUAAAAUAAAUUAUAUCUUAAUUUUA